CAAUAGCGUAUAUUAAAGUUGUUGCAGUUAAAAGCUCGUAGUUGGAUUUGUGGUGUGUCCAGUUGGCCUUUGCUCUUUGAGUGAUAGUGCUUUACUGGUCUGCCAUGUUUGGGUGGAAUCUGUGUGGCAUUAAGUUGUCGUGCAGGGGAUGCCCAUCGUUUACUGUGAAAAAUUAGAGUGUUCAAAGCAGGCUUAUGCCUCUGAAUAUAUUAGCAUGGAAUAAUGAUAUAGGACCUUGGUACUAUUUUGUUGGUUUGCGCACUGAGGUAAUGAUUAAGAGGGACAGUUGGGGGUAUUUGUAUUCCAUUGUCAGAGGUGAAAAUUCUUGGAUUUGUUAAAGACGGACUACUUGCGAAAAGCAUUUUGCCAAGGAUGUUUUCAUUGAUCAAGAACGAAAGUUAGGGGAUCGAAGAUGAUUAGAUACCAU
RNAcentral lists this ribosomal RNA (427 nucleotides) under uncultured eukaryote. Its description in RNAcentral is "SSU rRNA". It matches the Rfam family "Eukaryotic small subunit ribosomal RNA", at positions 592 to 1018 of the family's 1831-position model. The record is from RNAcentral.